Molecule: ribosomal RNA, 248 nt
Filed under: Inocybe sp. 'lendens'
Lineage: Eukaryota; Fungi; Basidiomycota; Agaricomycetes; Agaricales; Inocybaceae
Description: partial 28S ribosomal RNA
Rfam family: Eukaryotic large subunit ribosomal RNA
Source: RNAcentral
AAAGCUCAAAUUUGAAAUCUGGCAGUUCUUGACUGUCCGAGUUGUAAUCUAGAGAAGUGCUUACCUGUGCUGGACCGUGUACAAGUCUCCUGGAAUGGAGCAUCAUAGAGGGUGAGAAUCCCGUCUUUGACACGGACUACCUGUACAUUAUGGUGUGCUCUCGAAGAGUCGAGUUGUUUGGGAAUGCAGCUCAAAAUGGGUGGUAAAUGCCAUCUAAAGCUAAAUAUUGGCGAGAGACCGAUAGCGAA